Molecule: transfer RNA, 75 nt
Filed under: Caudoviricetes sp.
Lineage: Duplodnaviria; Heunggongvirae; Uroviricota; Caudoviricetes
Description: tRNA-Asp
Rfam family: tRNA
About the family: Transfer RNA (tRNA) molecules are approximately 80 nucleotides in length.
Source: RNAcentral
GGCGAUAUAGUUCAAUGGCUAGAAUUAGUAGCUGUCUCCUACAGGAAAAGAGUUCGAUCCUCUUUAUCGCCGCCA